RNA transcript from Amaranthus tricolor (Joseph's coat), 4650 nucleotides. RefSeq lists it as uncharacterized. The record is from RefSeq and is a predicted model, not a curated record. NCBI's taxonomy places the organism in Eukaryota, Viridiplantae, Streptophyta, Magnoliopsida, Caryophyllales, Amaranthaceae. The transcript is spliced from 3 exons.
CCAAUUAUUAUUGCUCUACUAAACAGUGGACUCUUAGGAAUUGGGUAUACUUUGAGCUCUAAUACCCUAGCUUUCAAAAUUUAUUUUGCUUAAAAUAGACUAGAGAGGGCGAUACUUUAGUUUUUAAAUGAUUCAAAGAGGUAUGAGCACUGAAUAUGUUAGUUUGUGGUAAAAUAUCCCAAAGAAAUUUACCUCUCCAUCUAUGAACAAUGAUAUUUGUCCCUCCUGUCUUUGCUCUUGGGUAAUUUCUCGAAGAAACAAGAAAUUCAACAUGUUUUUAUGUCCAUUUUCGACAUACAAUUUGUGAUUUAAGCAAUUGAAAGUCUAUUUCAAUUUCUUCUCAUCAUCUCAUUCUCACCUGAUCUUUUGGGUUGAUCUUUUGUUUAAUUCAUCAUCUCAUACACUCAGUUUUGUUCCUUCUCCCUUGCUUCUGAUGUGUGCUUCGAAUGAAGAAGAUGGAUGCUUAUCGAAUCAAGAAAAUCAAUUUUCUUUUAUGGUAAUCCAUUUCCUUAGUGAUCAUCUACUCCAUUGCAAUUCUUUUGAGCUAUUGGAUUUCAAGUGCUCAAAUCUUUCUUUCCUACGCACGAUUCUCCUUUUCCCUCUUUCAUUGCUCAACAUUUUCUUAAUUUGUCGAUGAUACACAUGUUUUUUGCCCACACCCUCUUCUUUUACUGUUAUGAAUGUUGUGAUUUGAGUGCUCAUUUGGUGUGUGCAUUCAUGGUGAAUCUUGGGAUGGAAUCCCAUAAGUAUGUCAUGAAUGGGUGUGUUGUGAUUGGUGUGACUUGAGUGCACAUUUGAUGAGGUGCAUUCAUGUGUGAUCUUUGGGAUGGAAUCCCAUGAAUGUGUUAAUGUGAGUGUAUUAAGUUAAGUUUUGAUGAUUGAUUUAUGAUGGUGAUUAAAUAUGGAUUAAUAAGGUAAUGAAGUGUGAGAGUUAUGGGACUUAAUGAAGAAGUGGAAAGGUUGAUUCAAGAUGCUCUACUAUGCAAGUCGAGCAAAUACUGUCAGAAGCCUUUGAAGAGCCGCUCGACCGAGCGAGUUCCAGGUUGGGUCGAGCGAGCAGACAGAAUGCAACUAGAAGCUUAUUGAAGUCCGCUCGACCAAGUCACUCGACCGAGCGAACCCCUGUUUUGGUCGAGCGAAGUCUCUGAUACUCUAGAAUGUUGUUUUAUGACUCUUCAUGUACUUAGGGAUGUUUCAUUAUCAUCUAAUCAUAGCUUUAAUGUACUUAAUGUAACUUAGUGUGAUCUCUCCUAUAAAUAGAGAGCUCUCAAUCACAUUGUAAUUAUCCACAAAAAACAUACCCCAAGCCAAACACUAGCCUAUAUCUCUUCUCUGUUGUAAUUCUCCAUAUUUGAGAGUUCUUUGAACUCCUUUUGAUAAUAUAAGAGAUACUACACAUCGAAGGACGUAGCCUUAAUUGGGUGAACCUCGUUAAAUCUUUGUGUCGUUUUAUUGCUUUAUUUUCUCCUACAAACAUCAAUAUUAUUGAUAGCGUAAUUUGUUUGUCACAAAACCUCAUACACUCGAUCUUGGUAAUAUUGGAGUUUGAAACACAUUGUUCGAACUCUAAUACGUCGUCGUUUUCAGGGUGUAUUAAGAUAAGUCUUAAUAUUUGUGGUUUAUGAUGAUGAUUAAAGUAUGGAUUAAUGAGGUAAUGAAGUAUGAGUUAUUCAUGGAAGUUAUGGGACCUAAUGAAGAAGUUCAAAGGUUUAAGAUGCUCUACUAUGCAAGUCGAGCAAUACUGUCAAAAGCCCUCUGAAGUGCCGCUCGACCAGCUCGCUCGACCGAGCGAGCUUUAGAAUGGGUCGAGCAAGCAGAUAGAAUGUAACCAAAAACUUCCUGCAGCCCGCUCGACCAGGUUGCUUAACCGAGCGAGCCUCUACUUUGGUCGAGCGAUGUCUCUGACGCUCCUAAGAUGCUGUUUUUGACUCUUCAAGUUCUUGGAGAUGUUUCAUUAUCAUUUAUUCAUAGUGUUAAUGUACUUAAUGUUACUUAGUGUGAUCUCUCCUAUAAAUAGAGAGCUCUCAUUCACAUUGUAAUCAUCCACAAAAUAUACCUGAAGCCAAACACUAGCCUAUAUCUCUUUUCUAUUGUAAUUCUCCAUAUGAUAAUAUAAGAGAUACUACACACCGGAGGACGUAGCCUUAGUCUGGUGAACCUCGUUAAAUUUUUGUGUCGUUUUAUUGCUUUACUUUCUCCUACAAACAUCGAUAUCAUUGAUAACGUAAUUUGUUUGUCACUAAACUUCAUACAUUCGAUCUUGGCAAUAUUGGAGUUUGAAACACAUUGUUCGAACUCUAAUACAUCAUCGUUCUCAUUUACUAUUGAGUAUCCUCAAGAAUCUUCAAUGAUCUCUACUUUUCCCCUUCACGUGCUUUACUUUUAGCCAAUUUCCGCUGCAUAUCAGUUUAUUUAUCCUUGCACACAUCCAUGGCCUCAUUCUUUUGUUCUUUCCAACUCAUUCAUUACUUUAAAUGUUUUAGGGAAAAUCUUACUUAUUCAAUGUAUCAAGCCUGAAAAUGUGAAUUUUUUACUAGCUUAAUUAACUUCUCGUAAACAAUGGUGUGUCAUUUUGAGACAAUGGGUUUAAAUCUCCUACACUGAGGUAUAUAUUUUAACCACUGUUACUCUAGUUAAGUUGAUUUCUUGAAUUGUAUUUUUGUUCAAAUUUAGAUUCUGUGUUGUUUUAAAAGGUAUAUAUUUUUGAUUUAUAUACACAUUUUGAUUUGUGCACAUAUAGCUGAACCUCAUAUACACAUUCUAAUUUGUGCACAUUAUGGAAGUUGCAGCUGAAAAACAUCAAAAACCAAAAUGCAAAAAAAUAAGGAAUCAAUUGGAAAAAAAUACCUGUUUUUUCAACAGAUUGUGUACCUCUUUCUUCCAAUUUCCAAAGAAGUCAUUGAGAAGCCCUAAAAUUUGAAAAAGCCCCAAUAUUUACAACAUCAAAGAAUCACUGAGAUUUCAUCCCACAAUCAAGCAUUGAUGUUACUCAAUAAAAAUUAAGAAACCUUAAUCAGAUUUUUUUGUUCAACAAAUCAAAAAACAAACUAACACAAUAAAGCAAACCCAACUCAAUAGUCCACAACUUAGGGUAAAUUAAUCUAAAAUGUGAACAAAAAACAUCAAAAAACAAUUAGGUUUUGAUAAAUCUAUAACCUAAUAAAAAUGUGAACUUACUUUGAACAUAAACAAUAAAAAAAAAGAGUUUAUGGUACAUUCCAAAACACACAACAAAUAAAAAAUGGAGUACUAAAGAAAAAAACAUAAAAAAACAUAUAAUAAUAAGAACAUGUGGAAAUAUAAUGUGAAAGGUAAUUAAUAGAUUUACCCUAAUGUGAAUGAAGUCAAUGUAAUUGUAGGUAGAACUUGCCUAUAAAUAUAGAAGUUCACCCAUGUAGAAAUGACACCAAUGAGUAAAAAUCUUUUUACUCAUUCUAUUUUCUUCUUAUCUCUCUAAGUUUUACCACGUUAUCAGAACCAGCUUUACCCUUAAUAAUAAAGAAGGUAAAUAUUUUUUAAACCUAAUUAAACAUUUUUUUAAUGGUACCACAAAUGAACCAACAAUCAAAUGGUAUCAACAUCGUCAUCCAAGGUGUUUCUAACACAUUUUUAUAUUUGAUAAUUGAACAUAAUUCCAUACCCUUCACUAAAACCCGAUAAGGACUGAUUUAAAUCAGCUCCUACAUAAUAAUCCCAAUGAUACUAAUGGUACACCAGUACCACCAAUUCGUAAUUCAUAUAUACGACCAACUAAUAAUUCACUAGUCCCACCGACUAAUAUUCGACCAGUACGACCAACAAAUAAUUCACCAAGACAACCAACUAAUAAUGCUCCAACAACAUCAACUGAAAAUAAACCCACAUCAAGUAAUAAAAGAACUAAAGAUGAUGAGGGAGAAACAAGUACUAAAUGUUGUAAGACAAAUAACUCAUAAAAUAAUUUAUUGGACAAUACGUCACCUUUAUGGAUGGCAAGGACAUUUUAUUGCUUUUGUUAUUAUUUUUUUAUUUUAUACCGCCUAUAUGGUUGGUUAACUAUUUUUUUACCGCCUCAAUAAUGGACGGUUAGAACUAUUUAUUUCUUUUGUUAUUAUUUUUUAAACCGCCUAUAUGGUUAGCUAAUUGUUUUUCUUUUACCGCCUAAAUGGACGGUUAACAUUUUUUUUUUCAUUCUUGUAUAUUUUAUUAUGAGCAUUUUUAUUUGUUGUAUUUGCAUUUAUAUCUAUGUGCAUUUUUUUCAUUUACCUUUUACUUUAUGUAUUUUUUUAAGUACACAUAAAUUAAUAUAGUAUAUUGUAGAAUUUGGGAUCACCCUCUAUAAAAACGGAUUACCCCAAUUUUUUUACCACACACCUCUUAUCCUUUCAACUUUACUCUUUACAUUAAAAACCCUCUUUCCCCUUUCUCCAUCCACCGAUAAUGUAUUCCCAUAAUAAAAACAACAUAUCUUGAUCCUUUUAAUAAAGCAAGUACGUCAAUGCCUAAUCUUGAUCUCUUAGACUUUUAUUUAAAUGGCGAUGAAAAUGAAAACAAAUAAUGCCGAAGAUAUUUGAAUUUUUCUUAACAAUGUUGUGAUGCUUAUUUAAUUGUAUUUCCUUUUUAUGUGCAAUAUUUUUUAUGUAUUGAUAUUAUCUAAUGUUAAUGAAAUUU